AUCGAACGCUGGCGGCAGGCCUAACACAUGCAAGUCGGGCGGAGCCGCGGGCGGGUGAGUAAUGUGUAGGAAUCUGCCUGGUAGUGGGGGAUAAAGUUCGGAAACGGGCGCUAAUACCGCAACCUAUCAGAGGAGCCUAGGUCGGAUUAGCUAGUUGGUGGGGUAAAGGCCUACCAAGUCGACGAUCCGCAACUGGUCUGAGAGGAUGAUCAGUCACACUGGAACUGAGACACGGUCCAGACUCCUACGGGAGGCAGCAGUGGGGAAUAUUGGACAAUGGGCGAAAGCCUGAUCCAGCCAUGCCGCGUGUGUGAAGAAGGUCUUCGGAUUGUAAAGCACUUUAAGUUGGGAGGCGUUACCAACAGAAUAAGCACCGGCUAACUUCGUGCCAGCCGCCGCGGUAAUAC
Molecule: ribosomal RNA, 407 nt
Filed under: uncultured bacterium
Lineage: Bacteria
Description: partial 16S ribosomal RNA
Rfam family: Bacterial small subunit ribosomal RNA
Source: RNAcentral